CCAAUAGCGUAUAUUAAAGUUGUUGCAGUUAAAAAGCUCGUAGUUGAAUUUUAGGCCUGGCCAGGCGGUCCGUCUUUGGCGAGUACUGUCUUGUGUCGGGUCUUCCUUCUGGUGAACCUGUAUGUCCUUUAUUGGGUGUGCUGGGGAGCCAGGACCAUUACCUUGAAAAAAUUAGAGUGUUUAAAGCGGGCUAUUGCUUGAAUAGAUUAGCAUGGAAUAAUAGAAUAGGACGUUGUGGUUCUAUUUUGUUGGUUUCUAGGACCACCGUAAUGAUUAAUAGGGAUAGUUGGGGGCAUUAGUAUUCAAUUGUCAGAGGUGAAAUUCUUGGAUUUAUUGAAGACUAACUACUGCGAAAGCAUUUGCCAAGGAUGUUUUCAUUAAUCAAGAACGAAAGUUAGGGGAUCGAAGACGAUCAGAUACCGUCGUAGUCUUAACCAUAAACUAUGCCGACUAGGAAUCGGGCGACGUUAUUUUCAUGACUCGCUCGGCGCCUUAUG
Molecule: ribosomal RNA, 497 nt
Filed under: uncultured Glomeromycotina
Lineage: Eukaryota; Fungi; Glomeromycota
Description: partial small subunit ribosomal RNA
Rfam family: Eukaryotic small subunit ribosomal RNA
Source: RNAcentral